RNAcentral lists this ribosomal RNA (460 nucleotides) under uncultured bacterium. Its description in RNAcentral is "partial 16S ribosomal RNA". It matches the Rfam family "Bacterial small subunit ribosomal RNA", at positions 338 to 795 of the family's 1533-position model. The record is from RNAcentral.
CCUACGGGCGGCAGCAGUGAGGAAUAUUGGUCAAUGGCCGUAAGGCUGAACCAGCCAAGUCGCGUGAAGGAAGAAGGAUCUAUGGUUUGUAAACUUCUUUUAUAGGGGAAUAAAGGUAUCCACGUGUGGAUAUUUGCAUGUACCCUAUGAAUAAGCAUCGGCUAACUCCGUGCCAGCAGCCGCGGUAAUACGGAGGAUUCAAGCGUUAUCCGGAUUUAUUGGGUUUAAAGGGUGCGUAGGCGGUCGGAUAAGUUAGAGGUGAAAUCCCGAGGCUCAACUUCGGAAUUGCCUCUGAUACUGUUCGGCUAGAGAGUAGUUGCGGUAGGCGGAAUGUAUGGUGUAGCGGUGAAAUGCUUAGAUAUCACGAAGAACUCCGAUUGCGAAGGCAGCUUACUAAACUGCCACUGACAUUGAUGCUCGAAAGUGUGGGUAUCAAACAGGAUUAGAUACCCCUGUAGUC